UAAGGAAUAUUGGACAAUGGCCGCAAGGCUGAUCCAGCCAUGCCGCGUGAAGGAUGAAGGUGCUAUGCAUUGUAAACUUCUUUUGUCCCGGAAUAAACCCCUGAUUUCUAUCGGGGCUGAAUGUACGGGAAGAAUAAGGGACGGCUAACUUCGUGCCAGCAGCCGCGGUAAUACGAAGGUCCCAAGCGUUAUCCGGAUUUAUUGGGUUUAAAGGGUGCGUAGGCGGGUUGUUAAGUCAGUGGUGAAAGCCUACAGCUUAACUGUAGAAUUGCCAUUGAUACUGACGAUCUUGAGUAUGGUUGAGGAGGGCGGAAUGUGUCAUGUAGCGGUGAAAUGCUUAGAUAUGACACAGAACACCGAUUGCGAAGGCAGCUCUCUAAGCCAAUACUGACGCUGAUGCACGAAAGCGUGGGGAGCAAACAGG
This 424-nucleotide ribosomal RNA is filed under the name uncultured bacterium. RNAcentral's name for it is "bacterial SSU rRNA". It matches the Rfam family "Bacterial small subunit ribosomal RNA", at positions 355 to 776 of the family's 1533-position model. The record is from RNAcentral. RNAcentral also lists the same sequence under 1 other name.